AAUAAUUGCUGGAAACGGCUUGUAANGCUCUAUAUGCCUNUAUUACAUAAGUAAGCAAGGGAAACAUUUAUGGCUUCGGGAUGAGACUGUACGGUAUCAGCUAGUUGGUGAGGUAAUGGCUCACCAAGGCAAUGACAUCUAACUGGUUUGAGAGGAUGAUCAGUCACACUGGAACUGAGACACGGUCCAGACUCCUACGGGAGGCAGCAGUGGGGAAUAUUGUACAAUGGAGGAAACUCUGAUGCAGCAACGCCGCGUGGAGGAUGACACAUUUCGGUGCGUAAACUCCUUUUAUUAGGGAAGAUAAUGACGGUACCUAAUGAAUAAGCACCGGCUAACUUCGUGCCAGCAGCCGCGGCAAUACGAGGGGUGCAAGCGUUACUCGGAAUCACUGGCCGUCGAG
This 403-nucleotide ribosomal RNA is filed under the name uncultured bacterium. RNAcentral's name for it is "bacterial SSU rRNA". It matches the Rfam family "Bacterial small subunit ribosomal RNA", at positions 142 to 565 of the family's 1533-position model. The record is from RNAcentral.